This 403-nucleotide long non-coding RNA is filed under the name Sorghum bicolor (sorghum). RNAcentral describes it as "long non-coding RNA (SBIC_LNC002663)". Lineage: Eukaryota; Viridiplantae; Streptophyta; Magnoliopsida; Poales; Poaceae. The record is from RNAcentral.
UAUAGUAUGAGUUUCUUAUUCUUGAUAUCAUUGUUGCUUGGAGAAUUUAUUUAAAAAUUCUAGCUACCAUCCUCAGUGUUUUAUAUGCCUGAUAAAACUAAAAAUAUUAAUUAUGAUUAUAAAGGCUAUCUACUCUGUAUUGAGUUUGUUCAAAAUGAGUUAGACCCUUGUUGAGAGAUUUAUCAUGCUCCUAAGAUCAAGACAUCUAUUCAGAAAGAUUCACUCUUCCGAAGUAUUAUUGCAUUAGAGGCAUGGGCUAUGCAAAAAUAAAGAUAUUUCAAGGAAAUAAAAAGGAGCAAGUGCUCGAUAACCUCGCAGAAAAAAUGGACAAGUGUCCGGCAGUAGAAUUUGGGGUACCUCGGUAUCCACUCAAAAAAAGAGAAGAAAAAGAAAAUGAUAGCCC